UAGGGUGACCAACUAUCCUGGUUUGCCUGGGACUGAGAAAUUUCCUGGGAUGCAGAGCUUUCAGUACUAUAUAGCCUGGACAGUC
Bison bison bison is the source of this 85-nucleotide microRNA precursor. The record is from Ensembl. Lineage: Eukaryota; Metazoa; Chordata; Mammalia; Artiodactyla; Bovidae.